GAUGAAUGCUGGCGGCGUGCCUAAUACAUGCAAGUCGAGCGAACGGACGAGGAGCUUGCUUCUCUGAUGUUAGCGGCGGACGGGUGAGUAACACGUGGAUAACCUACCUAUAAGACUGGGAUAACUUCGGGAAACCGGAGCUAAUACCGGAUAAUAUUUUGAACCGCAUGGUUCAAAAGUGAAAGACGGUCUUGCUGUCACUUAUAGAUGGAUCCGCGCUGCAUUAGCUAGUUGGUAAGGUAACGGCUUACCAAGGCAACGAUGCAUAGCCGACCUGAGAGGGUGAUCGGCCACACUGGAACUGAGACACGGUCCAGACUCCUACGGGAGGCAGCAGUAGGGAAUCUUCCGCAAUGGGCGAAAGCCUGACGGAGCAACGCCGCGUGAGUGAUGAAGGUCUUCGGAUCGUAAAACUCUGUUAUUAGGGAAGAACAUAUGUGUAAGUAACUGUGCACAUCUUGACGGUACCUAAUCAGAAAGCCACGGCUAACUACGUG
This 497-nucleotide ribosomal RNA is filed under the name uncultured bacterium. RNAcentral's name for it is "partial 16S ribosomal RNA". It matches the Rfam family "Bacterial small subunit ribosomal RNA", at positions 28 to 507 of the family's 1533-position model. The record is from RNAcentral.